Molecule: long non-coding RNA, 1796 nt
Organism: Canis lupus familiaris (dog)
Lineage: Eukaryota; Metazoa; Chordata; Mammalia; Carnivora; Canidae
Exons: 4
Source: RefSeq, a predicted model, not a curated record
AUGGCUUGGCUGUAAUGUGGAAGGCCUUGCAGGCAAGCCGCAGAGUGCAGACUAUGUCAUCAACACACGUCAACUCUAAAUAAUGAAAACUCACUGCUUAUAAUCAUAGAUACAGCUGAGCCCACAGGAAAUACCUAACCUGCAAUCAAUCUCCUCCUCGCUGUGGUCUGGCAGGACAGGUGAUACCUGUCUUCAUGAAUUUUUGUGUGAGGAAUUCAUUUUUAUUUCAGCAUCAAAAUCACAAAUUUUUAUAGGCCAGUUGGAAACAAGCUGAUGGUCUAUAAUGCUUUUAUUUGUUUUUGUAACAGCAACAGACCAUCCAUGGUCACUGUGAUUUAUUUAUAUGACAGCAUUUUUCAUGUAAAAAGUUAUUUUCUUUUAAAGUACUUUCAUAAUCUUUCGCUUGUUAGUCUUCCAAUGGUCUUGUGAAGAGGUUAGUAAAAAGACACUGUACUUUAUGACAAAUGUAGAUGGCAAAGCCCAGGGUGUUAAAUAACUUCCUUGCUGAUAUCAUAGGGAAGAGAAUUAAAUAAAUGGUUAACAACCUCAUGGCAAACUCACAGUAAAAAUAUCACAUUCUUUGUGAGAUUAUGGUACCAUUUCUUUGCUAUAAUAUAAACAUUUGCUUUGGUUUGUCAGUCUAGCCAUUCCAAAAAUCCUUAUCAAGGGCUUGCAGUGUGUCAGUGUAUCAGGCAUUAUGGCAAACCAGGAUGUGGUUCAUACUACAUUUUAAAUCACUUUUGGAAUAACUGGACAAUCCCUACAGCCAGGAAACCUAGCUUUGGCGGACAGUUUUGGCUGACGACACAGUUUUCUAAGUCCUGCUAAAAUGAACUACUCUGUUAACUGCUUUUCGACUUACUGCCUCUAUUUUACAGGAAAUGACAAUCUGGGCGAAGAUGGUUGCUCUGACAAUAGAAAACCAGAAAGAACUGGCAGUUGCCAGAUGACUGCCUUCAGCAACAAGGAUCAUAUGCUUUCUCAUUCACAUCAGGAGGGAGAAAGGGAGCCACAGCACACAAUUUUGGGGCAAAAGUUCAAUGAUUGGUGUUCAAUCCCACUCCAUUUGUGGGCCAAGGGAACAUCAUGGGUCAGGAUUAUCCUGAUUGGAUUAACUUUGGGAUAAGGAUGAGGUUAAUUCCACCUAAACUUCUGAGGCGUGUCCUGCACAAUGUGGAAAGAAUGAAACAGAUUUUGAGAAGGCAGAAAAAAUAUAGGAAAGAACUGAAGAUGUAUUCCAGGUUUCUGAUGCCAUUCAAAGAUGUAGGGGAUUCAGGAGGAAGGUGGUACACUUGCCGAUAAGAAAGAAACACUACAACUUAGUACUGUUGCAGUCACCCACAGAAAUAAGAUGGGUGCCCUCCUAAAAUUUGGUUCACCUUUCAAGAUUUCUGAUACCAUGCAUCACAAGAGAGUGUAAGUUUAUAAGUCACAAAAUGAGAAUUUCUAGGAAGAGGAGGGCAGGCUUUCCAAACAAAUCCAACAUGGCGGGGAGAGGAUGCAGGGAGGUUGGGAGAAAGACUGGCCUUUGGGGAUUUUAUGGUGACUAGGGCUUGAUACUAGGGUGAAAAUUCCUACACAGAGGCCACAACUUGUGUGGCUUGAAUUACCCACCGGCACCAAAGAAGGGAGCACCCAGGAUUUCUUAUCAGCCUGCCCAGAUGUAGGGCAAGAGGGAAUGGAUGAAAGAUUGAAAGUUGUCAACCAUCAAACUGCCAAACAUCAACUAUGGAGUCGGAGUCUUUAUUACCUGUGUUUAGAGUUUUAUUUAUUCCGACAAGAAAAUAAUAUAAUUU